This 501-nucleotide ribosomal RNA is filed under the name uncultured bacterium. Its description in RNAcentral is "partial 16S ribosomal RNA". It matches the Rfam family "Bacterial small subunit ribosomal RNA", at positions 29 to 523 of the family's 1533-position model. The record is from RNAcentral.
AUUGAACGCUGGCGGCAUGCCUUACACAUGCAAGUCGAACGGCAGCACGGGUGCUUGCACCUGGUGGCGAGUGGCGAACGGGUGAGUAAUACAUCGGGACGUACCUUAUCGUGGGGGAUAACGCAGCGAAAGCUGUGCUAAUACCGCAUACGCCCUGAGGGGGAAAGCGGAGGAUCGCAAGACCUCCCGCGAUCAGAGCGGCCGAUGCCUGAUUAGCUUGUUGGUGGGGUAAAAGCCCACCAAGGCGACGAUCAGUAGCUGGUCUGAGAGGACGAUCAGCCACACUGGGACUGAGACACGGCCCAGACUCCUACGGGAGGCAGCAGUGGGGAAUUUUGGACAAUGGGGGCAACCCUGAUCCAGCAAUGCCGCGUGGGUGAAGAGGGCCUUCGGGUUGUAAAGCUCUUUUGUCAGGGAAGAAACACCGGCUCUAACACAGUCCGGGAAUGACGGUACCUGAAGAAUAAGCACCGGCUAACUACGUGCCAGCAGCCGCAGUAA